This 164-nucleotide ribosomal RNA is filed under the name uncultured bacterium. Its description in RNAcentral is "partial 16S rRNA". It matches the Rfam family "Bacterial small subunit ribosomal RNA", at positions 355 to 511 of the family's 1533-position model. The record is from RNAcentral.
CAGGGAAUCUUCCACAAUGGACGCAAGUCUGAUGGAGCAACGCCGCGUGAGUGAAGAAGGUCUUCGGCUCGUAAAGCUCUGUUGUUAAAGAAGAACACGUAUGAGAGUAACUGUUCAUACGUUGACGGUAUUUAACCAGAAAGUCACGGCUAACUACGUGCCAG